Molecule: ribosomal RNA, 253 nt
Filed under: uncultured bacterium
Lineage: Bacteria
Description: partial 16S ribosomal RNA
Rfam family: Bacterial small subunit ribosomal RNA
Source: RNAcentral
UACGUAGGGUGCAAGCGUUGUCCGGAAUUAUUGGGCGUAAAGAGCUCGUAGGCGGUUUGUCGCGUCGAAUGUGAAAACCCGGGGCUCAACCCCGGGCCUGCAUUCGAUACGGGCAGACUAGAGUUCGGUAGGGGAGUCUGGAAUUCCUGGUGUAGCGGUGAAAUGCGCAGAUAUCAGGAGGAACACCGGUGGCGAAGGCGGCACUCUGGGCCGGUACUGACGCUGAGGAGCGAAAGCGUGGGUAGCAAACAGG